Molecule: ribosomal RNA, 156 nt
Filed under: Hydnum rufescens
Lineage: Eukaryota; Fungi; Basidiomycota; Agaricomycetes; Cantharellales; Hydnaceae
Description: 5.8S ribosomal RNA
Rfam family: 5.8S ribosomal RNA
About the family: 5.8S ribosomal RNA (5.8S rRNA) is a component of the large subunit of the eukaryotic ribosome. It is transcribed by RNA polymerase I as part of the 45S precursor that also contains 18S and 28S rRNA. Functionally, it is thought that 5.8S rRNA may be involved in ribosome translocation.
Source: RNAcentral
AACUUUUAACAACGGAUCUCUUGGCUCUCGCAUCGAUGAAGAACGCAGCGAAAUGCGAUAAGUAAUGUGAAUUGCAGAAUUCAGUGAUUCAUCGAAUCUUUGAACGCACCUUGCGCUCUCUGGUAUUCCGGGGAGCACACCUGUUCGAGUGUCAUU